This 72-nucleotide transfer RNA is filed under the name Carboxydothermus hydrogenoformans Z-2901. It matches the Rfam family "tRNA". From Rfam's summary of the family: Transfer RNA (tRNA) molecules are approximately 80 nucleotides in length. Lineage: Bacteria; Bacillati; Bacillota; Clostridia; Thermoanaerobacterales; Thermoanaerobacteraceae. The record is from Rfam by way of RNAcentral.
GGGCGCGUAGCUCAGCGGGAGAGCGCUUGACUCACAUUCAAGAGGUCGCAGGUUCGAACCCUGCCGCGCCCA